UGAAGCAUGCAAUGAGAGAAGCAGCCUAUUUCUGUGAUGAGCAGCCAUACAAACCCUAUGCAGGUGGCAUGGCACAAGCAUCCAGCUGGCCAUUGUUUUUUGGUAACAUUUUGUUGGUUUUUUUUUCCUGCUGCUUCUGAUACUGCUUAAAUAUUAUUUCAAUUGUUAAAGGUAUUCUUUCAGCAUAAAAUGGAUAGAGCACUCGCAUCAUAAAUACAAAGUUGUCUUUGGUUCAGCUGGGAUGGAGUUGUUUUCCUCCAGUGCCUGCACGAUGCUGUGCUGUGGUUUUAGGAGCAGUGCUGGUAACACAGCCAUGUUCCCAGCUGUCGCUGAGCAGUGCUGCGUGCAGCCAAGGACACUCACUAUUCCCCACUGCCCUACAAUGGGGCACAAGGGGCCGGGAGGGGAUGCAGGGAGGACAGCUGACCCAGCCCAGCCAAAGGGACAUUCCGUACUGUGUGACAUCGUGGGGAGAGCUUAGAAAGGGGGGGAUUCUGCUCUCUUCCUCCUGCUGCUCGGGGUGGGAGGGCAAGCUGGGCAUCUGACAGGGAUGUUUCAUCCCAGCCCACAAGUCCUACUGGGUUUUUUCCCCCUGAUUCUCUGCCCCUCCUGCUGGGAAGAGGAAGCAAGCAGCUGUGUUGGAAGAAGAGUUCUGUAAUGACUGGGAGCAGAUGGGGAGGAUCCAUGCACCCUAUUCUGAACUGCAUUCCCUGAUGCAGCACCAGCUGGGAGCACCCCAGUGGGCAGCAGGGACCGUGCUGCCUUCCAUGCGACUCCAAUAAUCGCUAAUCAUUUUGAAUUGAGGUUUACUGGACUCACACCUUGCUCGCAUAGCCUCAGAGCUGAGGUCUCCUGGCACGUUCAGAGCCGGCGUGGGAGGAGAAAGCUGGAGGGGACAGACAGACAGAGAGCAGGGGGAGGAAAAGGAAGGCAGGAAGGCACCAGCAAUAGGGACACAGGAAACAGAGGUGCCUCAAAUCCUGCAGAUUAUUCAAGAUGGGAUGGACUGAUAAAAGUUUCUCUCUAUGUAAUACUCAUAUUAUUCUAAGAACCUACAAAUCUAGAAUUCCUGACAGACAGCAGGUAUUACACACCUUAGAAGGUGCACUUCUAGAUUUGCAACCGUAUCCCAUUUUGCAGAAACCGAUUCUAUUUCCUACAUAGCAUUAAACAAAGUUUUAAAACCCUUUAGAAAAAGAGCAUUUUCUGCUACAAAAGUUUAAGCCAAGUUAGCCAUUAGUGAUUUCCUAUCCUUGAGAAAUUGUAUGGUUUCUUCAGAUGGGCUGUAAUAACUUCUGGACAACAUCCCUGAUCCACUCAGAAACACCUGGGAAUUCAAUAGGCAUCAGUAGGCAGAGUCCAAUUGAUUUUGGAGAAAGCCAGGACAGGAAAGAAGUAAAUGAGCCACAUAUUACCUUCUUCAUCUGUUUAGCAUAUUAACUUCCUCCAGCAUCUAUAUCAUUAAACAGUUGAUGGCAGCUUUACAGAAGAAGCGAAAACCAACCCAGCUCAAACUGCCACCUCAAAUGCCUCACCUACCAUACAGAAUGUAAUGGGAACAGAACCAGGGAGGGGAUGAGGAAGGGCAGACUGGGGCCAGGGCAGGCAGGGGGAUGAGGAUGGGGCUGGGACAGUUCCCCGGGAAGCACCUGAGAUGCUGACACUGUGGGAAUAUACAACUGGUAAGACUUCAUUCAGCACUUCUACAGUGCUAUCUGAAAGAGCUGCCAGCAGAACAUGAAAGAAAUGCAUGAUGUCCAAUGUCUGCUUCACUCACAAAAUCAGCACUGCUUGAAGUACUACAGUUUGUCUUUCUUUGCUUUGGCACAGUUGUUUUCUGAGAAGUUUUAUUCCUCGACAGAAGAAAUAAUUGCAAAAUUCUCAUUUGCUUGCUUUGAUGUGAAUUUAGCACUGCAAUAAAGGCAUUUGUUUAUCAAGUUUCCACUGAUCAUAAAAUGCUUUCCAAUGAAUGAUAAGCAUAAGGAGCCCUCACACUCCAGCCCAAACAGUCAAAUGCCUUUAGGUGUACAGCACUUACAUCAUCUGCAUUGACCUGAAGAUGUUCUACAGGAGGAAUGCAUGAUUCUGAAUGGGCACCAACUUGCAAGACAACGUAUGGAAGGGCACAUCACCCAAGCAUGCUCUGCGCCCCUUUCCAAAGCCUCCAGCUGUCACAGCCAUCCUUCUCACCCCACCUCUGCUAUGCACUGUUCACACAGGUGAAGCUCCUUCCCUGCACAGCCUGGAGUUGGUCCUGCUGGCUCCUGCUGCCAGAGCAUCCCUGCCAUGACACAGAUGGCCCUUAAACACUAACAACGAUCUACUAAUGGCUCUACGGGGUUAAUUAACUGUUUAUUUUUUGGAGAUAAUAGAAUUUUCAACGAGGAACAUCAGCAUUAUCUUUAGUGCCACCUCUUCAAAAGGGAGA
Phasianus colchicus (ring-necked pheasant) is the source of this 2428-nucleotide long non-coding RNA. RefSeq lists it as uncharacterized. NCBI's taxonomy places the organism in Eukaryota, Metazoa, Chordata, Aves, Galliformes, Phasianidae. The record is from RefSeq and is a predicted model, not a curated record.